Molecule: ribosomal RNA, 482 nt
Filed under: uncultured bacterium
Lineage: Bacteria
Description: bacterial SSU rRNA
Rfam family: Bacterial small subunit ribosomal RNA
Source: RNAcentral
GAUGAACGCUAGCGGCGGGCUUAAUACAUGCAAGUCAAGGGGCCAGCAAUGGCACCGGCGGACGGGUGAGUAACGCGUACACAACGUACCUUUAACUGGGGGAUAGCAUCUGGAAACGGGUGGUAAUACCGCAUGUGGUUGCGGGGAGGCAUCUCCUUGUAACUAAAACUUUGGUGGUUAGAGAUCGGUGUGCGUCUGAUUAGCUAGUUGGUAGGGUAGAGGCCUACCAAGGCGACGAUCAGUAGGGGGCUGAGAGCGUGAACCCCCCACACGGGUACUGAGACACGGACCCGACUCCUACGGGAGGCAGCAGUAAGGAAUAUUGGUCAAUGGAGGGAACUCUGAACCAGCCAUGCCGCGUGAAGGAAGAAGGCGCUACGCGUUGUAAACUUCUUUUGGGUGGGACGAAAAUAAUCCAUUUAUGGAUAGCUGACGGUACCAUCAGAAUAAGCACCGGCUAACUCCGUGCCAGCAGCCGCGGU